Molecule: small nuclear RNA, 102 nt
Organism: Solanum dulcamara
Lineage: Eukaryota; Viridiplantae; Streptophyta; Magnoliopsida; Solanales; Solanaceae
Source: RefSeq, a predicted model, not a curated record
GGCCCUUUGGAGACAUUCGAUAAAAUUGGAAUGACACAGAAAAAAUUAGCAUAGCUUCUGUGUAAAAAUGACACGCACAAUCGAGAAAUCGUCCAAAAAACU